RNAcentral lists this ribosomal RNA (484 nucleotides) under uncultured bacterium. RNAcentral describes it as "partial 16S ribosomal RNA". It matches the Rfam family "Bacterial small subunit ribosomal RNA", at positions 30 to 507 of the family's 1533-position model. The record is from RNAcentral.
AUUGAACGCUGGCGGCAGGCCUAACACAUGCAAGUCGAGCGGAUGAAGGGAGCUUGCUCCUGGAUUCAGCGGCGGACGGGUGAGUAAUGCCUAGGAAUCUGCCUGGUAGUGGGGGAUAACGUCCGGAAACGGGCGCUAAUACCGCAUACGUCCUGAGGGAGAAAGUGGGGGAUCUUCGGACCUCACGCUAUCAGAUGAGCCUAGGUCGGAUUAGCUAGUUGUCGGGGUAAAGGCCUACCAAGGCGACGAUCCGUAACUGGUCUGAGAGGAUGAUCAGUCACACUUGAACUGAGACACCGUCCAGACUCCUACGGGAGGCAGCAGUGGGGAAUAUUGGACGAUGGGCGAAAGCCUGAUCCAGCCAUGCCGCGUGUGUGAAGAAGGUCUUCGGAUUGUAAAGCACUUUAAGUGGGGAGGAAGGGCAGUAAGUUAAUACCUAGCUGUUUUGACGGUACCAACAGAAUAAGCUCCGGCUAACUUCGUG